UACGGAGGGGGCGAGCGUUGUUCGGAUUUACUGGGCGUAAAGGGUGCGCAGGUUGGCAGGUAAGUGAUAUGUGAAAUCCUACGGCUCAACUGUAGAACUGCAUAUCAAACUGCUUGUCUAGAGUAUGGGAGAGGUAAAUGGAAUUCUCAGUGUAGCGGUGAAAUGCGUAGAUAUUGAGAAGAACACCAUUGGUGAAGACGGUUUACUAUUCCAAUACUGACGCUCAGGCACGAAGGCAUGGGGAG
RNAcentral lists this ribosomal RNA (245 nucleotides) under uncultured bacterium. RNAcentral's name for it is "partial 16S ribosomal RNA". It matches the Rfam family "Bacterial small subunit ribosomal RNA", at positions 524 to 768 of the family's 1533-position model. The record is from RNAcentral.